AAAAAGCAAUCAGAGCCCCCCUGCUUCGACCCCGUCUGGAUCGGGAGAGCCAGAGCCCCCGAGCUACCCACCCCCCGCGCCACUCCGACGACCUCGUCGCCGGCGACCACCGCUGCCCUGUCUACCAUCUCCUUCCUCCUCCCUUUUCUUUUCUUCUCCACCGCUGCCUCGUCCACCAUCGGCGACGGCCGGAAAGGCGAGAGGUGAGGCCGCGUUGGCCGGGAUUGACGACGCGGGUCGCCAUGGCUGUGGAUCUCGCCGUCGCGCGCACGGACCUGGCAUCAACGACGCCCUCGCGCCCGUUCCUCUCGACGCCCUGGACCUCUAGGCUCCCGUCGCCGCCGCCGGAAACCCACCGCCAGCCCCGCCUCUCCUCAUCUCCUCCUCCACGCCCGUCUUCGCUGAGGGAGACCACGUGCACCUCGCCCCUGCUUGGCCCAGCAGGACGAGCCGUGACAAUCAUUGGAGUUUGUCCUCCUCGGAGCUCCGAGGCGCAUCUAUCUCCACGGCGCAGCGCUUCUCCCUGACAAGCGCGGGUUUGCUGUCACCGCGCAGCUGGUGCGCUCUGCGCGUUGCUCCAGCAUCCCCGGCCCAGCGCGAGCACGCCCCUCCUAUGGCCCAGCUCUCGCCUCGCUCCGGCGUCCCCGACCCAGCAGCGCCCAGGAGUCCAGGAACCUCCGCCCCACCCUCCGCCCUGCGCGUCGCUCCGGCGUCGCCGGCCAAGCAGCGCGGCGGAGGCCAUGAACCCGACGCCCAGCGCGCCUCUGCCCGAGGGGUGGGGGGCUGAUUGCUUUUCCGUUUUAGAUCAAGGGGUGUGUGUGUAAAUUUUUUGCUCUUACAAUCUGGCCCCACUUGUCAGAAAGUGGUUAAAUGGAACAAAUCACCUGAUCAGUGCAUUUUGCAAAAAGAUUACCAGAAACACGGUGCGUUUUGCAAAUAAUUAGGGACUAGGUAGUUUUUCGCAAAGCUAACCCCAAAUGUGGUGGUUUUCUGCAAUUCACUCCAGGCUAGUUAGCUGCAGGGAGAAGAAAAACCAUUUGAUGUGGUGGCUUCGAAUCUGGCGCUGGACCUUAAGGCGUGCCUGGUGCGGCCGUGGCUUCUCCCUUGCCCAGGUGCGUGGGAAGGCCUUGGCAUGCGGGUGCUCUACCAGUGAGGCCGAGGCAGUGGAUGCCGGGGCACCAUCCCUGAAAAGCGAGACACAGUGGCGCCCUAGAGGGGCCAAGUUUGCGCUGGACAACCUCGAGGUUCCUGUAGGAUGUGUGAUUGUGGAGGACGGGAAGGUUAUUGCCUCUGGUAGCAACAGGACCAAUGCCACCCGGAAUGCUACGAGACAUGCUGAGAUGGAAGCAAUCGAUAUCCUUCUCCAGGAGUGGCAGAGUAUUGGCCUUGACCAGACACUGGUCGCGGAUAAGUUUGCAGGAUGUGACCUCUAUGUCACGUGCGAGCCAUGCAUAAUGUGUGCAUCAGCAUUGUCGAUACUAGGAAUCAGGGAAGUAUACUAUGGGUGUCCGAAUGAUAAAUUCGGGGGAUGUGGAUCAGUCAUGUCACUGCAUGAGAGCCUUUCGUCGGAUGACUUGACAGGGUGAGGGGAUAUCAGCGGCAAAUUGAAAGCUCUCUGCUCAUGAGCCAAGAUACCAGAUCAAGAGGUUUUAAAUGUACUGGGGGGAUAAUGGCGGAAGAGGCAGUCGCUGUUUUUAGAAAUUUCUAUGAACAAGGAAACCCGAAUGCACCGAAGCCUCACAGACCUGUCCGAGUGGAUCAGCAGUGACUGGUUUGUUAGUCGUGCUGACGAGGAAGAUCUCAGAUCUACAUCCUACAGGUCAGGCGAUUCAAGAAGAUUCUCUCCACUAUUGAUUAGCUUGUGUUAACACUGAAUUCAGCCUUACUCAGUUGCAGCUAUCUAUCAUCUAGACAUUUGGUUUCUCCUUUAUGGGAAAAUAAAAGAGAAACCAAAUGUGUUACGCAAAUUGUUACUCCCUCCGUUCCUAAAUAUUUGUCUUUCUAGCCAUUUCAAAUGGAAUACAACAUACAUCCGUAUGUAGACAUAUUUUAGAGUGUAGAUUCACUCAUUUUGCUUUGU
Molecule: RNA transcript, 2080 nt
Organism: Aegilops tauschii subsp. strangulata
Lineage: Eukaryota; Viridiplantae; Streptophyta; Magnoliopsida; Poales; Poaceae
Gene name: tRNA-specific adenosine deaminase TAD2
Source: RefSeq, a predicted model, not a curated record